GUGCUCGCUUCGGCAGCACGCACACUAAAACUGGAACGAUACAGAGGAGACUAGCACGGCCCCCGCACGAGGAUGACACGCAAAUUCGUAAAGCCUUCCACAUAUUU
Small nuclear RNA from Pteropus vampyrus (large flying fox), 107 nucleotides. The record is from Ensembl. NCBI's taxonomy places the organism in Eukaryota, Metazoa, Chordata, Mammalia, Chiroptera, Pteropodidae.